CACGUAGGGUGCGAGCGUUGUCCGGAAUUACUGGGCGUAAAGGGCGCGUAGGCGGCACGGCAAGUCGGGAGUGAAAGCCCGGGGCUCAACCCCGGAACGUCUUUCGAAACUGCCGAGCUAGAGUGCGGAAGGGGCAACUGGAAUUCCCAGUGUAGCGGUGAAAUGCGUAGAUAUUGGGAAGAACACCUGAGGCGAAGGCGGGUUGCUGGGCCGACACUGACGCUGAGGCGCGAAAGCCAGGGGAGCGAACGGG
This 253-nucleotide ribosomal RNA is filed under the name uncultured bacterium. RNAcentral's name for it is "partial 16S ribosomal RNA". It matches the Rfam family "Bacterial small subunit ribosomal RNA", at positions 524 to 776 of the family's 1533-position model. The record is from RNAcentral.